This 520-nucleotide ribosomal RNA is filed under the name uncultured Glomus. RNAcentral's name for it is "SSU rRNA". It matches the Rfam family "Eukaryotic small subunit ribosomal RNA", at positions 569 to 1090 of the family's 1831-position model. The record is from RNAcentral. Lineage: Eukaryota; Fungi; Glomeromycota; Glomeromycetes; Glomerales; Glomeraceae.
AGCAGCCGCGGUAAUUCCAGCUCCAAUAGCGUAUAUUAAAGUUGUUGCAGUUAAAAAGCUCGUAGUUGAAUUUCGGGGUUAGUAGGUUGGUCAUGCCUCUGGUAUGUACUGGUCUCACUGAUUCCUCCUUCCUUAUGAACCGUAAUGCCAUUAAUUUGGUGUUGCGGGGAAUUUGGACUGUUACUUUGAAAAAAUUAGAGUGUUUAAAGCAAGCUAACGCUUGAAUACAUUAGCAUGGAAUAAUGAAAUAGGACGUUCGAUCUUAUUUUGUUGGUUUCUAGGAUUGACGUAAUGAUUAAUAGGGAUAGUUGGGGGCAUUAGUAUUCAAUUGUCAGAGGUGAAAUUCUUGGAUUUAUUGAAGACUAACUACUGCGAAAGCAUUUUGCCAAGGAUGUUUUCAUUAAUCAAGAACGAAAGUUAGGGGAUCGAAGACGAUCAGAUACCGUCGUAGUCUUAACCAUAAACUAUGCCGACUAGGGAUCGGAUGAUGUUAAUUUUUAAUGACUCAUUCGGCGCCUUA